RNAcentral lists this long non-coding RNA (250 nucleotides) under Homo sapiens (human). RNAcentral's name for it is "HSALNT0117702". The record is from RNAcentral. Lineage: Eukaryota; Metazoa; Chordata; Mammalia; Primates; Hominidae.
AGAAGUGAGGAGACCCUCUGCCUGGCAACCACCCCGUCUGAGAAGUGAGGAGCCCCUCCGCCCGGCAGCUGCCCCGUCUGAGAAGUGAGGAGCCUCUCCGCCCGGCAGCCACCCCAUCUGGGAACCCAUAUUUGGUUCUCAUGAAAACAGAAGCUCCGUGGAGAAAGCGAAGAAAGUCCUUGAAAGUCGCCUGUUCAAAGCCGCCACUGCCGUGAUGCCCCCUGACUCCGCACCCCGCCGCCGUGACGCC